This 73-nucleotide transfer RNA is filed under the name Zootermopsis nevadensis. It matches the Rfam family "tRNA". Rfam says of the family: Transfer RNA (tRNA) molecules are approximately 80 nucleotides in length. Their secondary structure includes four short double-helical elements and three loops (D, anti-codon, and T loops). The record is from Rfam by way of RNAcentral. Lineage: Eukaryota; Metazoa; Arthropoda; Insecta; Blattodea; Termopsidae.
GCCACGGUGGUCUAGCGGUUAGAACGCUGGCCUUGUAUUCCUGGGGUCUCGGGUUCGAUUCCCGGCGGUGCCC